Long non-coding RNA from Calidris pugnax (ruff), 5657 nucleotides. RefSeq lists it as uncharacterized. The record is from RefSeq and is a predicted model, not a curated record. Lineage: Eukaryota; Metazoa; Chordata; Aves; Charadriiformes; Scolopacidae. The transcript is spliced from 6 exons.
AUAUGCUGUGAGAGAGGAAAAAAAAUUGCUUAAGAUUGGAGCAAGUACAGUAUCUGGCUGCCCCCUAGUGUAAGUCUCUUAUCUGCCUAAAAUUCAACUUUAAAAGAAAAGGAUCUCUUAAAGGGAAACGACUUUUGGCUCACGUAUGCAUACGAGAAUGAAACUUCUGUACAUUUUAAUCUGAUUAAUUCCUAAGGAUUUAAAAUUAAUUGGCUUGGGCACUCUUAGACCGGACUAUAAGAUUUCUGCAUCAGGGUUGCAGCGAGUGCUACACCGAAUAGGAACCGUGCCUCGCAUGCUGUUGUCAGAGCAAAACACUUUUGCUGCUUAAAGUCAGAUCUACGUCUUUUGCAAUAAUAUUUAAAAAAAAAAAAAAAGAAAAAAAAAAAGAAAAAAAGAAAGGAUAAAUAAUUGCCUUAAAGCCUCAGCCGAACUGCCAACCACACCUUCGGAUGUCAGAAGGCAGAAAUAUGUGAACUGCUGAGAGAGGUGGGUACUUUUUGCCCCAAGUGCAGUACUUCAUAAAGACAUGAAAAGGACAUCCCAGACAGCAGGACCCGAGCCCAGGCUUGUCACAGAGUAUAAAAGGAGAGAGAAGGGGAGUUUUUAUCUCUUUGCCCCGCCAACUCUUAAUAGUUCUAAGUUUCAGUGUGACAAUAAAACAGUUUUGAUAACACAGCUCAUGGGUUUCUCUGCCACAUAAAGUUUUCUUAAUAAUAAAAAAGAAGAAACUUUAUCCCUGCUAAAUUAAAAUAGGGCAGAUGUUGGAUAUGGUUCAUAUUAGCCAGCCUUUCACCCCUUUGCCCCUGGCACUAAAGUUCUGACUUUUUCUUUCUACUAUGUCUGUUUCUAACUGAAAGGCAUUAUUCCUGCCCCUGGCUCUCUUCUUCUAUUUGUUUUUUCAGCGUCUAAAAUUAAACCUAUUCAUUUAGUAAUAUACAUUCUAUUUCAGAUUGCUAAACCUGGCCAGAGAGGGGAAACGUUUUCCAAAAAGUGAUGCACCACUGACCUUAAAAGAAAACAUGAGGCAGAGAAAGCUGUUCUUAAAAGGUUUAUUUCUAGAGAGUUUUGUAGCUCUGUUGACAUUACAGGGAUAAUGGCUGUAUUGCAAUGGGCUUUCAAGGCCCGAGAGGUUUAUGUUUUCUUCUGACCACGAGUAUAAUAAAAUUUUAAAGGUGCACCAAGUCUCAUCACUUUAGAUAUUUAAAACUAGAUUGAAAAAACCCUUGGGAAACAUACGUUAUAGUGGACAGCCCUGCUGAGAAAGCAGGGAAUAGACAAAAAACCAUACCCCAAACCCAAAUCCAAAUAACCCCCCCCAAAUUUUUUUUUUUUUUUUCCUAGAAGCUAGCUCUAUGAAAAUCCUGGCUAUUAAACUCCCAAGGAUAGCACAGCUCUUUUCGCCGGGGCUGCGAAGAUAGAAUUUAUUGUCCAUUUGGAACGAUCAAGUUUAGGCUAAUAAAAGGCCCUCUGUAAGCAGAAAAUGCCCAAGUUGAUGUUUGGCAGAGUUUUCAAUGGUGGAGUUUAUAUAGGAUGGGGGCUCUGCACUAUUUGAAAUCACUCCUAUCUCAGCAGCCGAAGAUGAUUUGCCAUAACAGAAGUAAACGUUAGUAGGCAGCGGCUGAAGGUUAAUCAGCAUCGCUCUCUGAACUGGACGGUUGAAAGCAGGAAAAAGUGAAAGCUGCUCUCUCCAGCCCUUCCCUUUGCUAAGGAACUGCUAACUUUUAUGAUUUUUUUUUUUUUUUCUCUCUCUCUCUUCCUCUUUUACUAUCUGUCUUUGUGCCUGAGGGCCAGUGAAAGAACACUGCAGAUUCUAGAUUGCUUUCAGAGUUUCCCUUUGCUGAUGAUGGAUUACCAUGUCAAUUUAAACGGCAUAGGAUUAAUUUGUUUCAAUGAUUUCUCUUUAGGCUGAAUGCCAGUCUUUUUUUCCUCUCUCUCCUUGCUCCUAAUAAUAAUAAUAAUAAUAAUAAUAGUAAACAAUAAUAGCAACACCAAUAACAAUAAUAAUUCCUUAAAAAAACCCAAACAUUUUUGAUAUCCCACAUUAAAAAGACAAUAAUAGAAAUAGACAAGUUAGGUGUAAUGUUGCAAUACAGUUAUAGGUUUGAGUGUUUUUAUCUCAUUCUAAGGGACUGAAGCAUACAGUCAGUCACAUUAAAAUGAAAUUGGAUCCAACGUUUAUUCAAUAAAUACUUGUCUUGUAGGUAAUCCAGAGCAGAGUGCUUUUGACACAUAAGGACUUAAUUUGUCUUGGAUAACAAGUUAUUAAUAUGGCACAUUUAAACUUGCCACCUACAAUAAGGUCAUUUAGAUCUAUAAUACGAUUGGCGAGAGAACUUCAUAAAAGGCAGAAGCAAAGUUUGAAACGGCCUCCGCGCUGCGGGAGCAGACGCACGGCUCGUGGUUUGCUCUUUUCAGAAGAAAGUUUGGAGCAAGUUCGGAGCCACCCCAACCCAAACGGUGCGCAUCUGCUCCUCUUUGAAAGGCAAACAGAAACGGGAGUGAGGAGAGGGGAAAAAAAAAAAAAGAAGAACCCAAACACACAUUUUUGAAUGAGUAAGCUUUAAAGCUGUGCUGCGUCUGCUAGCGAGCCCAUCGCAGCUUUGAAAGUGAAAAAACAACAUUUGGUUCCGAGUGGAAACUCGCCCGCGUUUGCACCCUACCUCUUCCAUGCGCUUUGCAAUUUACUUGCUUUUAAUAAUAAGCGAGGAAGUUGGGCCGUAAUCCGCCCCGAAAUGUUCUUGCUGUAAUUUGUCGGUGCCGUGUUUGCUCACGCAUUAAGCCGUAGACGGAAAGCAAAGCGGGGAUGUAUGGCCGUGAUCCCCCCGUGCAGCCUGAACAAACAGAGGUGUUUUGGUACCGGCUGGAUUUCAACCCCCCCAAAAAAAAACCCCUCCACAACUGUUUUAAAAUUUGGAAAGCGGGAGGUGGGGUGUUUCGUUUCAGACUUGUCCCGACCCAACAAUGCCUGCCAGAGGUGCACCAGGAGGGGCAUACCGUGGGCAUUCUACACGGGACGUGUUUUGGGGCUGGUGGUUUGAUCUCCACGUCGCACACGCGAGCUUUUUUGCUGCUUUUAUGUAUUAAGCUCUCGGUCGUUCUUGCCCUGGCAGAUUCUGUCUCUUUAAGCAACUAAAUCUCAUUUUUUAAGCUCUUCCUGGGAAAAGGAUGUUACACAUGAGUAGAAAAAUGCAGGCAAGAAAGGCUAAUUGAAUGAAAAGAGAGAAUUAGGUUAAAAAUAGAGUACAAUCUAGUAUCACAUUUUCACUAGUGUAACCUGAAAUGAAGGUGUCUCCAAGUCCCUAGUGAUGCCAGAGUGUUUAGAUGUUGGGCACAGAUGGAGACACCUAUUGAAAUGUGUCUGAAGAAGAUUAAUAGGACUUGUCAGUGUUGGGAAAGCACUGCUUUGCUGUAAAUUUCUACUAGCACAAGAUGAAUUACCGAUGAAUGCUCAGUUAUCAACCCCAUCACUAUCAUUGGACACUAAAUCAAAUUGAGCAGUUAUCUACAAUCAGAAAAUUUCUUUUAAAAAUAGGCAUACACCUUUAGGCUUAAACUCUUUAAUAAGACAAUAUCCUCUAUGGUAUGUGUGUGUUCACGAAGGGAUAUGAUUUAAAGUUUCUAUACAAAAAGCUUCUGUUCGGAAACGAACUCCCAAGUUUAGUGUGAAAUCAGGGUUGUCAAACAAUAGAAGAUAUUCAGAAAAUACUGGUCAUACAACACAACGUUCUGCUGGGGGCCUGAUCCAAAAUGGAUUUUCAUGCCAUGUCAUUACAUUUUGGAUCCGUCACUAUUUUUGAAAGGUUUUUUCCAUCAUGCCUCUCCUCUUAUUUUUGGUGAUGAUAAAAACCCCUUCUCUCUACCUUAAAGACUGAACAUCCAAAUCAUAUAUUAAUGCAAAAUAGCUGUCAAGACUCAGGAUAUAUGUAUAAUAAUAAUACCACCCCCCCAACAUAUUUAGGAAAUUACAUCUUAAUAUAAUGAAGUAUGUGAUGAAAGAAUCAAUGAAUAACGUUUUUACAUGAAAAUAUUUCCUUCUGUUCUUUGUAAAAGGGGAAACUGUCACAAGCAAAACUAUCACAAGCAUUUACCAGCCCACUGAUAAUGUACAUUAGCUGUAUUUACCAUGUGAUGCUGCUGAUGACAGUGAUUUUAAACAAGCAUUAUAUAUAUUUUCAGUUUCCAGGAUUUCUUUCUCUCUCACCCAGGCAUUUUACUACUUUAUCCAAGGAGAUUUAUCGUGGCAUGCUUUCCAAAGUCAAUUUUUCCUUUUAUUAUAGACAAGGGCAGUCAUUUAUGUUUAGGGAGGGAGACAGGUACAGUGCCUUUAUCUGAUCUGUGUCCCCAGCCACAGCUACCACCUUAAUCGACGGCAAACUCCCACUCUGGAGGAUCAGGCCCUAUCUGGGCUACUUCUCAGCCAAGGAAUGUAUCCUUCCCUUCAUCUCCACAUUUCUUACCUGUGAUGUAUGCUACUUUUUGAGGAGGGAAUAAUAUGCUAUUUACCACAAAGCACAGCUUCAAAGCCUUUGUGUGUUUCUCAUCUCUAGCCAGAGCUUAUUAUUUACCACCUUAAAGAUUUACCCAGCUGAGGGAUAGUAGCAGUUAUUGUCUUCGUUUUUACAUCCUAAUUUUCACACAGCAAAUGCCCUGCAUUAGGGCCAGAUUCUCACUCAGAUGGAAGUUAUUAACUUUAAGCAGAACGGAGCCUAUUUCAGCCAGCCCCAGCCCGUGCCCUUCUAACACAGUCACUUUACAGCAUCCCCUUGUUUAUUUUUUUUCUUUGGAGGGCAUGAUUCUUUAAACGUGUUUGUUUUAUGCAGAAAAGCAGUUGAUGCCUAACUUUUUUUCCCCCCACAAACCUGUAAAGAGAAUAUUAAUAGGGAGUAUUAAUAGAGCUGAGUGCAUCACGAUGCUAGUUAGAUUGUAGUAGCUGAGAAAUAUGAACUAGUGAACAUAAUCCAUAAACUCCAUUUGGUUACUAUAAUACUCCAAUCUGUAUUUAUUACAACCCCACUCUGAUGCUUAUACAACUGCAAUUGCUAGAUUUAUACACCCUAAUGGUUUCACAAUAGGAAAAACCUGUGUUCUUUAUCUUUCUUUUCCUGUCCAAAAUAACCCCUUCCACAUAUACUUCAGGCUUCUCCGGACCUUGUCUGGGUUUAAUCACAGGCUGUGGGACAAAAUGUGCAUUAUUAAGAAAUAUAAAUAUUUUCAGAAGCAAUCAAAGGGUUGAAAGAUUGAUUCGGCAUGUAGAUUGGAUUUAAUUCGAAGCAGCUUUGUUCUAAUGAGGACUACUGGGAUACAAAGACGGCAGCCGCUUACGGCCACCAGUUGGGAACUUCGACUCGCUGCAGCAACCUGUCAAGAAUUUCAAGAAACUGCCAGGAAUUCGGAAGAUGCCCACGUCUAAGACGACAGUGGUGAGGAUCGGGCCAAAAUCCAGAUCCAGCCUGGAUUCCUCCAUCUGAGUAGUCCUGUCUCGACCUACGACUGCUGAUGGAUUGCAGGAACGUGGACCUUUCUCUCUCCUUACCCCCCAGCAUCAGAUCACCAAGAGGGCCUGAGAUAAUACUGGAUGAACCCCCACAGGACCAGGAAUGGAAAGCGUGGGGACAGAGACAUGGUCGAUACAGCUGGUUCCCCAACUCUCCCUC